CUACGGGGGGCUGCAGUGGGGAAUAUUGGACAAUAGGGGAAACCCUGAUCCAGCAAUGCCGCGUGUGUGAAGAAGGCCUGCGGGUUGUAAAGCACUUUCGGUUGGGAGGACUGCUUCUAGCACUAAUAUUGUUGGAAGUUGACGUUACCUUCAGAAGAAGCACCGGCUAACUCCGUGCCAGCAGCCGCGGUAAUACGGAGGGUGCAAGCGUUAAUCGGAAUUACUGGGCGUAAAGCGCGCGUAGGCGGCUAGAUCAGUCGGGUGUGAAAGCCCCGGGCUUAACCUGGGAACUGCAUCCGAUACUGUCUAGCUUGAGUACAGGAGAGGAGAGUGGAAUUCCACAUGUAGCGGUGAAAUGCGUAGAUAUGUGGAGGAACACCAAUGGCGAAGGCAGCUCUCUGGCCUGAUACUGACGCUGAGGUGCGAAAGCGUGGGGAGCAAGCAGGAUUAGAUACCCUAGUAGUC
Molecule: ribosomal RNA, 465 nt
Filed under: uncultured bacterium
Lineage: Bacteria
Description: partial 16S ribosomal RNA
Rfam family: Bacterial small subunit ribosomal RNA
Source: RNAcentral